ACCACGGUGGUGUAGUGGUAGCACGCGCCCCCGGUAUGAGUGAAACACGGGUUGAACUCCUGUCUGUGGUA
Non-coding RNA from Parelaphostrongylus tenuis, 71 nucleotides. The record is from the annotation of a GenBank genome assembly. Lineage: Eukaryota; Metazoa; Nematoda; Chromadorea; Rhabditida; Metastrongylidae.